Unclassified non-coding RNA from Ictidomys tridecemlineatus (thirteen-lined ground squirrel), 292 nucleotides. Its record names the gene 7SK. It matches the Rfam family "7SK RNA". Rfam says of the family: 7SK was discovered as an abundant small nuclear RNA in the mid-70s but a possible function has only recently been suggested. The record is from Ensembl. Lineage: Eukaryota; Metazoa; Chordata; Mammalia; Rodentia; Sciuridae.
GGAUUACAGGUGUGUGCCACUGUGCCCAGAUUUUUUGAUUCAGCUGAUCUGGCUAGCUAAGCAAGUGUUCUCUUUCUCUCUUACUGCUCCAUGUGCAUCACUGCUGAAGCUAUGUGCUCAGUUGAGGAGGACAACCACCCCAGAUAGAGGAGGACUGUUCUUUGGUCAAGGUAUAUAAGUAGCUACAUUCCCAUGCUAGAAUCUCUAAACAACUCGUUUUUAAUCCUUUCUAAGUGUCCAAUAAGUGAACUUUUAAUAUUACUGAAGAUGGGGAAUAAAGGGCCUCUAAUUC